RNAcentral lists this ribosomal RNA (253 nucleotides) under uncultured bacterium. Its description in RNAcentral is "partial 16S ribosomal RNA". It matches the Rfam family "Bacterial small subunit ribosomal RNA", at positions 524 to 776 of the family's 1533-position model. The record is from RNAcentral.
UACGUAGGGGGCAAGCGUUGUCCGGAAUCAUUGGGCGUAAAGAGCGUGUAGGCGGCUCGGUAAGUCCGCUGUGAAAGUCCAGGGCUCAACCCUGGAAUGCCGGUGGAAACUGUCGAGCUAGAGUCCGGAAGAGGCGAGUGGAAUUCCUGGUGUAGCGGUGAAAUGCGCAGAUAUCAGGAGGAACACCAAUGGCGAAGGCAGCUCGCUGGGACGGUACUGACGCUGAGGCGCGAAGGCGUGGGGAGCGAACGGG